RNAcentral lists this long non-coding RNA (663 nucleotides) under Homo sapiens (human). Its description in RNAcentral is "non-protein coding PWRN2:3". The record is from RNAcentral. Lineage: Eukaryota; Metazoa; Chordata; Mammalia; Primates; Hominidae.
UAUCUACGUCAAGACCUGGGCUUUGCUCCACUUGGAGUCAGCUGAUUGACAGGAGGGCAUCUGAAAUUGAGAGGAGAUUUCAGGACGUUUACCCAGCCCUUUAGUGGGGAUCUGUCCGGGACUGUGCAGUCUGAACCUGCAACUGUAAAAGUCUCAGGAUGUAACCUUGAAGCAAACUGCAGAAACCAUUGCCUCAGUCUUCAAGUAGAACCUUGAAAUAUACUUUGGAACCACACCCCAUUCAGUUUCCCACUGUACAUGUCCAUGCCUUAUACACAUUUAUCUAACUGUAUGCUGGCGAAACUCACACAAUGCAUAAUUAUCUAACUAUAUGCCUGUCAAAAAAUACCAGAGGCUAAUUUAAAAUGAAUCAAACAUACAGGCCCAGCUGUGGUAUUGUCUCUCUCUUAAAGAUUGCCUCUGGAUGGAUACCUAUGGUCUGGCACUAUCAAGAUGGUAUCAGUCUGUGGCUCCAGGUGGACCAUAACUCAAGAUACACAUGGGAGUAAGACACAGACUCCCUGAAUCUGCACACCUCCUGCAUGCCUCCCAUGUUAUGCAUUAUGCUUCCCUUUCUUUAAAAACCUGCCCUCAGUCCAACCUUGUGAACUGGUUUAUACAGGUGUCAUCCAGCCAUUUCCCUACUGCUGGAUUUGAAAAAUA